RNAcentral lists this long non-coding RNA (2173 nucleotides) under Mus musculus (house mouse). The record is from RNAcentral. Lineage: Eukaryota; Metazoa; Chordata; Mammalia; Rodentia; Muridae.
AGCUUAGGGCUUGAGUACGAAGGGACCAGUGAAGAUAACCACAGUGUUUUGUGUGGAAGACAUCUUGCGCAGGAACCUGCUGCCUCGACUAGAGAUCCUAGUCUCCCCUUCAGCAAAUACUCACAGGAAGAAAUAUGGAAACAAAGUACGGAGCAUAUAGUGAAGGAAAGGCUAUCCAGAGACUGCUCCACCUGGGGAUCCAUCCCAUAUACAGCCACCAAACCCAGAUGUUAUUGUGGAUGCUGGGAAGGAUUUCCUGAUAAAAGUCUGAUAUGGCUGUCUCCUGAGAGGCUUUGCCAAAGAAGAAGCUCACAAUCAACCAUUGGACUGAGCUCAGGGGUCCCUGAUAGAGGAGUUGGAGAAGGGACUGAACGACACUACGUUUUACGAGAGAAUCAUGCUAUGUAACUCAGGCUAGCCUUAAACACAAGAUCCUCCUGCCUCAUUCUCCUAAGGGCUGAAGUUUCCUGCAAAGACCAAAUUAAUGAGUAUUCAAACAACUUUAAGAAUUCAUCUUGGAAACUUUCUUCAAAUCAUUGUUUUUGCCUCUCUUAAUAUCAGAUCUCAUCUGCUCCCAGUUAAUUUGCUAACUAUGGACGCAUCAGAAACUGUUGUAAAGGUGAUGACCUGUCUAGAUUGGGAGAAAAGAUAACAUGUGACUCCUUACUUCCCAUUGUAGGAAGCUAAUUUGGGUAAACUUGAGACAAAAUUCUCUUAAAAAUAAAAUCAUAGCAUCUGACUGGGAAAAAACAAAACCAUGACCACUCUCUUGAACUGGCAAGAGUGUCCUUCACAUAUGUGUGCAGCAGGAAAGGUCAUGGCUUGCUCAAGGUUAUAGCAAGAGUCAGGAUCAGCACUAACUUCACUGUGAUGGUUUGCUUCGUCCAGGGAGUGGCACUAUUAAAAGGUGUGGUCCUGUUGGAGUUAGUUUGUCACUGUGGGUAUGGGCUUUAAGACCCUAGUGCUAGCUGCCUGGAAGUCAGUAUUCUCCUACCAGCCUUCAGAUGAAAAUGUAGAACUCUCAGCUCCUUCUGCACCGUGCCUGCCUGGAUGCUGCCAUGUUCCUGCCUUGAUGGUACUGGACUGAACCUCUGAACCUAACAUCAAUGGUGCAUUCAGAAUGCUGAGCAGGCAACAGGGACACCCUGGUCAAGGAGAGCACAAAGACUCACAGGGUAGGAGGAGCUGAAGUGGACAGCCAACCAUUCACAUCAAAAGAGCAUGCAAGGCAUUCCGAAGAUAAACCAAGUCUGUGAAAAUCUAUCAAGAAUGGCUGUGUACGUGAAAGUGCCCACUGUUUGGCUCCAUGAACAUAGUAAGGGCAGUGGGUAUUCAACUAUAAGAACCUUGAAAAGUAGUCUAGGCUUAAAUGUGGAACCUCAAAGCUGCACUCAGUAUCUUCUUCAAAUAGAACUUUCCAUGGCAUCUUUCUGACAUCAGGCUGUCCCAGAACUGAAUCUUUACUCAGAAAACAGACUUCCUGUGCUGCGCAUAGCUACCUUGUACCAAUUGACACCCAUACUCAAUCCUUGUAAUGCUCCACCUCCUAAUUGUGAUAGCAGCUACCAUGUACUGGUCUAGCCUGCCUUUACCCUGCACCAGAGAAGUUUCUGUUUGUAAUGGACAAUGAUUCACACAGAGACUCGACUGUUCCAAAGACUGUGAAUAAGUGACUAUGGAACACUCAGCCAUAAACUGGAAAGCUACACCAUGCCUUUCUCCAAGGUCAGGGGACAAAAGAAAACUAAACAGCCAAGGAAAUAAAGCAGAAUUUGAAAGUAGAGCUAGCUGGGAUGGUGAGGGAGACACAAUAGGGGACAGCAGCGGUGAACGUGUUCACAGGACAUUGUUAUCAUGUAUGGAAAUGUCAAAGUUUUAGAAGAAUAUGUAACUUACUCAUGUAUUUCAAAUAGUUGCUUUCUUCUCAUGAUGAAAUGCCCAAGAAUUGUUACUCUGGGACACAUAAAGUGAAAGUCAAUGGUGGCACUCAUAUGUGUUAUAGAGUUUCUUCUUCUUAGCUGCAGUCUGAUAAACACUUGUAUUGAUGAUCUAUGUGUGUGGACACCAUUGGUGUGGGGUAUGUGAUUUCGUUUCUGCUGUGUGAACAAGCAUUGACAACCAAGCAGAAAGAAAAUAAAGUAUGGUUCUUCCUUAUUUCGAAAAAAAAAAAAAA